RNAcentral lists this ribosomal RNA (459 nucleotides) under uncultured bacterium. Its description in RNAcentral is "partial 16S ribosomal RNA". It matches the Rfam family "Bacterial small subunit ribosomal RNA", at positions 338 to 795 of the family's 1533-position model. The record is from RNAcentral.
CCUACGGGAGGCAGCAGUGAGGAAUAUUGGUCAAUGGGCGCGAGCCUGAACCAGCCAAGUAGCGUGAAGGAUGACUGCCCUACGGGUUGUAAACUUCUUUUAUAAAGGAAUAAAGUGAGGCACGUGUGCCUUUUGUAUGUACUUUAUGAAUAAGGAACGGCUAACUCCGUGCCAGCAGCCGCGGUAAUACGGAGGAUCCGAGCGUUAUCCGGAUUUAUUUGGGUUAAGGGGAGCGUAGAUUGGUUGUUAAGUCAGUGGUGAAAGUUUGCGGCUCAACCGUAAAAUUGCAAGUGAUACUGGCAGUCUUGAGUGCAGUUGAGGUAGGCGAAAUUCGGGGUGUAGCGGUGAAAUGCUUAGAUAGCACGAAGAACUCCGAUUGCGAAGGCAGCUUACUAAACUGCCACUGACGUUGAUGCUCGAAAGUGUGGGUAUCAAACAGGAUUAGAUACCCCAGUAGUC